UUCAAGUCUCCAAGCUAAAUGCACAGUGGAUGGUUGCCUGGGUGACAGCCCGUAAACUAAGCAGUCUCUUUGCAACUAAACUGAAGGGCUUGUGCACACAGAACCAGCUUUAAUUAUCUUUUUUUUUUUUUCAAGUACUUUGGGAAAUAAUCAAAGAAAAAAAAUCUAAAUCUAUGUUGCUUUUAAAUGGAUCCCUUGUUGAAGUGUGGGGGUUGACAGCUGUCCCAGAAAAUCAGGGCCACGGUGAAUUAGAAUGAUGUUGACUGAUGUUUGGCUUGGUGUUUCUUCCACGGUAUACCAACUUCCUCGGCAAAACAUAUCACAGGUGAUUACAUGGAACUAAAAAGAUGAAUAAAAAUAAACUGAUUCAUGAUUUCCUGGAAGUAGUUUCAAGAGGUGAUGUGAAACUCAUCUGUGACCAUAUUAGUAAAGUCCAUUCCACCCUCGGAAACCUUAACUUUCAGCAUCCAAAGACUGGGAAUACACCUCUCAUUACUGCAGCAGCAGAAAAUCUAACAGAGUCAAGAGACAUUCCCGAUAUACCCAAAGAAAUGUAUUAGACUUCAUGUUGGAUACGAUGGUGAAUCAAACACAGAUGUCACUCCUGAGGAUCCUGUGGUCUAGUGGGACCACAUCAUGGAGCCUGAGUUUUUUCCUCCUUUUCCUCCUCACCCCUAGGCCCAUCAGUAUCUGGAAAUUCGUUCCCUGUUCUAACAGAUGCACAUAAUCCUGAAAGUAGGGAAAGAGGAGUAAAUAUGUAAUAAAAGACCUAAAAAGUCAAAAGAUUGUCCUCUU
Molecule: long non-coding RNA, 795 nt
Filed under: Sus scrofa (pig)
Lineage: Eukaryota; Metazoa; Chordata; Mammalia; Artiodactyla; Suidae
Description: lncRNA (ENSSSCG00070003880.1)
Source: RNAcentral